UCGACCGAAACGCCGAAUCCUGCCGUCGGCCGAUGGGAACAGUCGUCGCGCAAGCGCCGUAGGCAGGAGCGGGGGACCCAAGGUAAGUGCCGGCCCCGGCCGUCGAGACAGACGGCCGACGACCGGCUUGGGGUGAAGCCGCGUGCUAGGACACGCGGCCGGGCAACUCUUCGGCCCGAACCCGACAGCUCACCUCGCAGGCGUCGGUGAGGAGAAUC
RNAcentral lists this small RNA (218 nucleotides) under Streptomyces sp. RNAcentral's name for it is "c-di-AMP sequence". The stretch from base 45 to 218 matches the Rfam family "c-di-AMP riboswitch aptamer (ydaO/yuaA leader)". From Rfam's summary of the family: This family represents a conserved RNA structure found upstream of the ydaO and yuaA genes in Bacillus subtilis and related genes in other bacteria. The ydaO/yuaA element is thought to act as a genetic "off" switch for the ydaO and yuaA genes in its native state. The record is from RNAcentral. Lineage: Bacteria; Bacillati; Actinomycetota; Actinomycetes; Kitasatosporales; Streptomycetaceae.